AGGGAAUAUUGCACAAUGGGCGAAAGCCUGAUGCAGCAACGCCGCGUGUGCGAUGAAGGCCUUCGGGUCGUAAAGCACUUUUCUGGGAGAUGAGAAAGGACAGUAUCUCAGGAAUAAGUCUCGGCUAACUACGUGCCAGCAGCCGCGGUAAAACGUAGGAGGCAAGCGUUAUCCGGAUUCACUGGGUGUAAAGCGCGUGCAGGCGGUUCGGUAAGUUGGGCGUGAAAUCUCCUGGCUCAACUAGGAGAGGUCGUUCAAUACUACCGGACUUGAGAGUGGUAGAGGAAGAUGGAAUUCCCGGUGUAGUGGUGAAAUGCGUAGAUAUCGGGAGUAACACCAGUGGCGAAGGCGAUCUUCUGGACCAUUUCUGACGCUCAGACGCGACAGCUAGGGUAGC
RNAcentral lists this ribosomal RNA (397 nucleotides) under uncultured bacterium. RNAcentral's name for it is "bacterial SSU rRNA". It matches the Rfam family "Bacterial small subunit ribosomal RNA", at positions 356 to 769 of the family's 1533-position model. The record is from RNAcentral.